AGAGUUUGAUCCUGGCUCAGGAUGAACGCUAGCUACAGGCUUAACACAUGCAAGUCGAGGGGCAGCAUGGUCUUAGCUUGCUAAGGCCGAUGGCGACCGGCGCACGGGUGAGUAACACGUAUCCAACCUGCCGUCUACUCUUGGACAGCCUUCUGAAAGGAAGAUUAAUACAAGAUGGCAUCAUGAGUCCGCAUGUUCACAUGAUUAAAGGUAUUCCGGUAGACGAUGGGGAUGCGUUCCAUUAGAUAGUAGGCGGGGUAACGGCCCACCUAGUCUUCGAUGGAUAGGGGUUCUGAGAGGAAGGUCCCCCACAUUGGAACUGAGACACGGUCCAAACUCCUACGGGAGGCAGCAGUGAGGAAUAUUGGUCAAUGGGCGCAGGCCUGAACCAGCCAAGUAGCGUGAAGGAUGACUGCCCUAUGGGUUGUAAACUUCUUUUAUAAAGGAAUAAAGUCGGGUAUGUAUACCCGUUUGCAUGUACUUUAUGAAUAAGGAUCGGCUAACUCCGUGCCAGCAGCCGCGGUAAUACGGAGGAUCCGAGCGUUAUCCGGAUUUAUUGGGUUUAAAGGGAGCGUAGAUGGAUGUUUAAGUCAGUUGUGAAAGUUUGCGGCUCAACCGUAAAAUUGCAGUUGAUACUGGAUAUCUUGAGUGCAGUUGAGGCAGGCGGAAUUCGUGGUGUAGCGGUGAAAUGCUUAGAUAUCACGAAGAACUCCGAUUGCGAAGGCAGCCUGCUAAGCUGCAACUGACAUUGAGGCUCGAAAGUGUGGGUAUCAAACAGGAUUAGAUACCCUGGUAGUCCACACGGUAAACGAUGAAUACUCGCUGUUUGCGAUAUACAGCAAGCGGCCAAGCGAAAGCGUUAAGUAUUCCACCUGGGGAGUACGCCGGCAACGGUGAAACUCAAAGGAAUUGACGGGGGCCCGCACAAGCGGAGGAACAUGUGGUUUAAUUCGAUGAUACGCGAGGAACCUUACCCGGGCUUAAAUUGCAGAUGAAUUACGGUGAAAGCCGUAAGCCGCAAGGCAUCUGUGAAGGUGCUGCAUUGACGGGGGCCCGCACAAGCGGAGGAACAUGUGGUUUAAUUCGAUGAUACGCGAGGAACCUUACCCGGGCUUAAAUUGCAGAUGAAUUACGGUGAAAGCCGUAAGCCGCAAGGCAUCUGUGAAGGUGCUGCAUGGUUGUCGUCAGCUCGUGCCGUGAGGUGUCGGCUUAAGUGCCGUAACGAGCGCAACCCUUGUUGUCAGUUACUAACAGGUUCCGCUGAGGACUCUGACAAGACUGCCAUCGUAAGAUGUGAGGAAGGUGGGGAUGACGUCAAAUCAGCACGGCCCUUACGUCCGGGGCUACACACGUGUUACAAUGGGGGGUACAGAGGGCCGCUACCACGCGAGUGGAUGCCAAUCCCAAAAACCUCUCUCAGUUCGGACUGGAGUCUGCAACCCGACUCCACGAAGCUGGAUUCGCUAGUAAUCGCGCAACAGCCACGGCGCGGUGAAUACGUUCCCGGGCCUUGUACACACCGCCCGUCAAGCCAUGGGAGCCGGGGGUACCUGAAGUGCGUAACCGCGAGGAGCGCCCUAGGGUAAAACUGGUGACUGGGGCUAAGUCGUAACAAGGUAGCCGUACCGGAAGGUGCGGCUG
RNAcentral lists this ribosomal RNA (1641 nucleotides) under human gut metagenome. RNAcentral's name for it is "bacterial SSU rRNA". It matches the Rfam family "Bacterial small subunit ribosomal RNA". The record is from RNAcentral.